This 715-nucleotide long non-coding RNA is filed under the name Salmo salar (Atlantic salmon). Its description in RNAcentral is "lncRNA (ENSSSAG00000085302.1)". Lineage: Eukaryota; Metazoa; Chordata; Actinopteri; Salmoniformes; Salmonidae. The record is from RNAcentral.
CCCGUUUAGAAAUUACAUCGCUUUCUGUAUGGUAAAUGAUGCAUUGUUGUAACGAUCGUCGUAAGGAGGAGACCAAGGUGCAGCGUGGUCGGUUUUCACUGUAACUUGUGAUUGGUCCAGAAGACAGGAAGUUCUACACUCACAAUCGAACAAAUGCAACAGGGUUUGUGAGAGAACAUUGAUCACUGGGGUCGGGGCCUGUUCCCGAGGCAGCCGUAUGUCCUCCGCCUCAGGCCCCUCAGAGUUGUGAAAGAAGAAAAAAGAUUCUGCUAGUCCGUGGUUUAUGAGGAUUGCCUGCUGCAGUUGUUCAAGGAGAUGUCUAGUUUGCAGCCGAACAUACAGCACAGAGAAGACCAGCAAGAGGACCCUCAGGAUCACCAGGCAUGCCUUCGCUGUGAUCAUUCCUAUUAAUGGAACAGGGAGGAGACUUGAAUCAGGUUGGUCACAUUUGAACUGGUCAAAGGUGUCACAGGCCAGCUCAUAGCCUGUAGCAAAAAUGAGGGGACAUGAACAACAGGUAUAUGCCAAUCAAAAGGUUCUUUAUUGUAAACCAAAAAACUAUUAACUUUAAACAAAGAAAAAGUAAUGAGGUGUGGAAAUGUCAUAAUGUAGGGUGUAUGGAUGCAUGAAUCUGUGUGUGUGAAUAUGACUGUGUGGAAACUAAGUAAACCUACAAGGGAACAAACAAAACAGGAUCAUACCUGGAGGAGCUGAG